AUGAACGCUAGCGGGAGGCCUAAUACAUGCAAGUCGAGCGGUAGAGUGACUUCGGUUGCUUGAGAGCGGCGCACGGGUGAGUAACGCGUACAUGACCUACCUUUAAGACUGGGAUAGCCCUGGGAAACUGGGAUUAAUACCGGAUGUGAUAAUACGUAUAGAGAUGUAUUAUUAAAGUUGAGGCGCUUAGAGAUGGAUGUGCGUCUGAUUAGCUAGUUGGUAGGGUAACGGCCUACCAAGGCGACGAUCAGUAGGGGGCGUGAGAGCGUGGCCCCCCACACGGGUACUGAGACACGGACCCGACUCCUACGGGAGGCAGCAGUAAGGAAUAUUGGUCAAUGGACGGAAGUCUGAACCAGCCAUCCCGCGUGCAGGAUGACUGCCCUAUGGGUUGUAAACUGCUUUUAGCAGAGACGAAACGCCUUCAUUUAUGAGGGUCUGACGGUAUCUGCAGAAUAAGCACCGGCUAACUCCGUGCCAGCAGCCGCGGUAAUACGGAGGGUGCAAGCGUUAUCCGGAAUCACUGGGUUUAAAGGGUGCGUAGGCGGAUAUUUAAGUCAGUGGUGAAAUCUUGUCGCUUAACGAUAAAAUUGCCAUUGAUACUGAAUGUCUUGAAUUGGGUUGAGGUUAGCGGAAUGUGACAUGUAGCGGUGAAAUGCAUAGAUAUGUCAUGGAACACCAAUUGCGAAGGCAGCUAGCUGGGCCUUGAUUGACGCUGAGGCACGGAAGCGUGGGUAGCGAACAGGAUUAGAUACCCUGGUAGUCCACGCCCUAAACGAUGCUAACUCGAUGUUUGGACGUAAGUUUGAGCAUCCAAGGGAAACCGAUAAGUUAGCCACCUGGGGAGUACGACCGCAAGGUUG
RNAcentral lists this ribosomal RNA (863 nucleotides) under uncultured anaerobic bacterium. RNAcentral describes it as "bacterial SSU rRNA". It matches the Rfam family "Bacterial small subunit ribosomal RNA", at positions 29 to 896 of the family's 1533-position model. The record is from RNAcentral.